UUGCCCUUUGUUUGGUUUUGCACACCUAAUUUUGUGAUUUGGGAAAAGUAAUAUAUUUAUUUAUGGGUACCAUGAUAGCGACCGUGAAUUGCGGCUGCCGGCCACCUUUUCCCUAAAUGACAUUUUGAACCUUUCAUAAUCUGCACCGUGAGAGACAAGGGUGGAUUCAGGGGUGUUUUGAGAGGUUCUUAGAAACCCUUUAAUUUGGAAAAAUUAUUGGAAAUCUCGUAUGAUUUUGAAAAAUUAAUAAGAAUCUACCAAAAGAAACACGGUAAAAAUAUUCUUAGAUCCGCCACUGUGAGAGGGUCACGUUGUGUUUGUAAAGAAAAGUGAGAAAGAAAGGGGAAACAAAGUGAAAAAAUAAAGAAAAAAAGAUUUUCCAAUAAUUUUUGCUCCUAACUGUGGGCAGAUUUGAGUAGAAGAUAAUCCAUUAGUCAUUACAAAUAACCUUUUUUUCACAAUCUUUAAUUUGUGUUUUUUUCUUUGAACUUUGAAACAUGAUAUUUGAUUUCUCCAUUCGGUUUAUCAAAAAAAUGGUCAUUGUUUCCUUUGAAUCAUGUGAUCUCUCUCUUCUUAAUGUCUACAAAUUUCUUCUAUCUCUCUUUCAUGCCUGUUCGUCUAGCUAAAAGACCUACACUUCAAGUGUUAUACAACGGUAUAUACGUUAAUUCACAAAGCAGACUCAUCAAAAUUUAUGAAAAACUGUCGGUCUUGUCUCUUUUCUUUGUGGGUCGCUCGGGGUUUAAGCCCAAACUCACUUCAUGAAUCUUAAGGCUGGCUCCGACAAAUGAAUGUGUAUGAGAACCAAUUAUUUGUGAACUAAUCAUUUUGUGACCAGUUCAAAAAGUUGUAACAAAGUCCGUUAGAAAUGAGUCAUUCAAGUCAUUUCCAUUUUCCAUACCUUAAAAACUAAUACACUUUAAUUUUUAUAUACUUAUGAUACUAAUCAGCUUUUAAAUAUAAAAUAGAGUUAAGUACAAUUUUAGUCCCUGGAUUUUACACCCAAUCGCACAUACAACCCUCAUUUGAAAAAAACAACCGUUCCAGUUCCUGUGGUUGUCAAUUGGAAUCAAUCAAGUCCCUCUCACUAACUGGUCGUUUGUAAUAUAGUGAAAAGACUAAAAUACCCCAUAACAUUAUUUACCAUUUCAAUCCCUGAACGUAUAAUUCAUAUAUUCCCUCAUAUUCAAAACACUUCCUAAUCUAGUUACUAACCACCGAUUAUCCUUAACUAAUCUGCAAUGUGAUGAUAUUAACAACAACAAUAGCCUGUAAUAAGACAUGUAACCAUAAUUGAUGUAUGUUUGACUUUUAGCUUUAUGUUCAGUUCAUGGUGUUCAUCUUAUAUUAGCGAAGUUUGAUCAUUUGUUAACGUAACGCUAACUAAUUCUUCGAUUUGAGUGGUAGUGUUUAACUCCUUUAGAAACUUGGCAUGAGAAUAUACCGAACAAUGAUUUUCAAACGGAUUGGUAUCCCAGUCAAAGCUUGAUUUUGGGAGAUCAAAUCUUCAUAUGUGGUGUAUGAGGUUGAUGGUUGAAAAAGGUAACAAUGUUGUAUCGAAUGGGAUUCACCGCAAAUGGUACAAUAUGGUUCCUCAUAAUCAUCCUCAAUAUAGUAGUUGUAGCCUUCUGAGUAGUAAUCCAAUGUAUUAGAAGAUAUCCAGAAGAUUAACGAGCCUCGGGAUCAGAAAACAGAAAAUUAAAAUUUAACAGAAAGAUGACCACGGCCCCGUGCUGAAGUGGCACAGCCCCGUGGGUAAGUCUGUAUCUGGGCGUUUUGAAAAGUUUUUCAGGAAAUUUGCAGCACGGGGGCGUGGCCAAGUGGCACGGCCCCGUGUCAAACCUAUUGUAAAAAUUAAAAAGUUUUGAAAACGGGCGCGCAGUUUUGAAAAAUGUACAGAAUUUGAUUAGGCUACUAAUUUUAAGCUUUCUCAAAAUCCUUGUGUCCCCUGCAACGACGCCAAAAACUUGACGUGUGAGGGUGUGGGUAUAAAUUUUAGAUAUAUUUUAAGUACUUUUUACUUGCGAAUCAAGCUUUAAAUUUAUAAAACACGAUAUAUACUAUCACUCUACACACCUUAGGGCAAGUGCAGCCAUUGCAGACGUAGUAUAGUGAUGACAAGAUACCGAGGUCGUCCAAGGACACAAGAGCUUUUAGUACCGACUUAUCGUUAACAUCUAAUCUAACCAUAUUUUGAUAAAAUGUUUUGAAAGUUUUAAAAGAUAAACUAGAAAAUAAAAAUAUAAAAGAUAAGGUAAACAAAUGGACAAUAAGGAAUCACUUGGUUCCAACUCCUCUUUUAUGUAUCCUUUGAUGAUUUCUGCACUUUGGGCUUUUUAAGAGAUUAUCUUUAAGUUAUAGUAGUAGGCCCC
This 2372-nucleotide long non-coding RNA is filed under the name Helianthus annuus (common sunflower). Lineage: Eukaryota; Viridiplantae; Streptophyta; Magnoliopsida; Asterales; Asteraceae. The record is from RNAcentral.